UACAGAGGAGCCAAGCGUUGUCCGGAUUGACUGGGCGUAAAGCGCACGCAGGCGGUCUGGCGCGUGGGGUGUGAAAUCUGGCCGCUUAACGGCCAGGCGCCAUCCCAUACGGCCGGACUGGAGCCAUGCAGAGGUCGGUGGAAUUGCCGGUGUAGCGGUGAAAUGCGUAGAUAUCGGGAGGAACACCUGAGGCGAAGGCGGGCUACUGGGCCGAUACUGACGCUGAUGCGCGAAAGCCAGGGGAGCGAACGGG
Molecule: ribosomal RNA, 253 nt
Filed under: uncultured bacterium
Lineage: Bacteria
Description: partial 16S ribosomal RNA
Rfam family: Bacterial small subunit ribosomal RNA
Source: RNAcentral